GUGCUCACCUCAGCAGCACAUACACUAAAGUUGAAAUGAUACACAGAUUAGCAUGGCCCUAUGCAAGCAUGACAUGCAAAUUCAUGAACUGUUCCAUAUUUUA
RNAcentral lists this small nuclear RNA (103 nucleotides) under Prolemur simus (greater bamboo lemur). The record is from RNAcentral. Lineage: Eukaryota; Metazoa; Chordata; Mammalia; Primates; Lemuridae.